UUGUAUAUAUGCAUGUUUAUUUUUCCUAUUGCCGAAGCAUCUGAAUCGGAUCCGGUGAAUCGAACGACGGGAGAAUUGGGUGUCAUCGGUAGGCGAUGUAAGUACAUAGAGUACUCUUUUUAUUUAUUGUUUUUUAAUUGUCAAAUAUAUGUUCCCAACGUUGAUUACUGUGUCGGUGUUUAGACCCGGCAACCUACCGAGGGGGUACCCAAGGUAGUGUUUUAUGCGUUGAGGCUCGCCGAGAUCAGAAACUUGAUGGUGAACUUGAACACACGAUUUAGACAGGUUCGGGCCGCUUAUGUCACGUAAUACCCUACGUCCUAUGUGUUGGUUGGAUUGUAUUGAUUGAAGUUGUUUGGAGGGGGUCCCUGCCUCGCCUUAUAUUGCUGGGGGUAGGUUUACAGGUCGGUUAUUUACAAGAGUACUAGUCGGAUUCAACUAGAGAAUCCUACUCUAAUUGCUAUGAGUAGUUUUCUAAUCCUCGACUCGUUCUCG
RNAcentral lists this long non-coding RNA (495 nucleotides) under Setaria viridis. RNAcentral's name for it is "long non-coding RNA (SVIR_LNC002698)". The record is from RNAcentral. Lineage: Eukaryota; Viridiplantae; Streptophyta; Magnoliopsida; Poales; Poaceae.